AAACCAACAGGGAUUGCCCUAGUAACGGCGAGUGAAGCGGCAACAGCUCAAAUUUGAAAUCUGGCUUCGGCCCGAGUUGUAAUUUGCAGAGGAAGCUUUUGGCGCGGCGCCUUCUGAGUUCCCUGGAACGGGACGCCAUAGAGGGUGAGAGCCCCGUAUAGUUGGACGCUAAGCCUUUGUAAAGCUCCUUCGACGAGUCGAGUAGUUUGGGAAUGCUGCUCAAAAUGGGAGGUAAAUUUCUUCUAAAGCUAAAUACCGGCCAGAGACCGAUAGCGCACAAGUAGAGUGAUCGAAAGAUGAAAAGCACUUUGAAAAGAGGGUGAAAUAGUACGUGAAAUUGCUGAAAGGGAAGCGCCUAUGACCAGACUUGUGCCUGGUGGAUCACCUAGCGUUCUCGCUGGGGUACUCUGCCUGGUUCAGGCCAGCAUCGGUUUCUGUGGGGGGAUAAAAGCUCUGGGAACGUAGCUCUUCGGAGUGUUAUAGCCCUAUGCAUAAUACCCCCGGGGGGACCGAGGUUCGCGCUCUGCAAGGAUGCUGGCGUAAUGGUCAUCAGCGAC
This 557-nucleotide ribosomal RNA is filed under the name Polylobatispora deltoidea. Its description in RNAcentral is "partial 28S ribosomal RNA". It matches the Rfam family "Eukaryotic large subunit ribosomal RNA", at positions 62 to 648 of the family's 3401-position model. The record is from RNAcentral. Lineage: Eukaryota; Fungi; Ascomycota; Sordariomycetes.